Long non-coding RNA from Canis lupus familiaris (dog), 373 nucleotides. RefSeq lists it as uncharacterized. Lineage: Eukaryota; Metazoa; Chordata; Mammalia; Carnivora; Canidae. The transcript has 4 exons. The record is from RefSeq and is a predicted model, not a curated record.
GCUGGGCCCCAGGAGCCUCCCCAAGCCCUUGGCUCUUACUCCGCCCCCCUCCCCCUCCCAGCUCUCAGGUCCCUCCCUAAGCACCCCAGCCUGGCCAGGAGCCCGCCCCUCCCGCUUGGUCCCUGUCAGAUCUGAUGAAGCACCUUGAGUGCUUUCUGAGUGCUGAAGAAGCCUUGCACCCCGGGGAUAAAGCCCACCGGGUCAUCAUCUGAAGAAGCACAUGGAGUGCUCUCCGAGUGCUGAAGCAGCCUUGCACCCCGGGGAUAAACCCCACUGGGUCAUGCAUGCAGUGACCUGGAGUUCAGGGAAUUGGCAAACAGAUUGCGGGACUGGUUCAAGGACCUUCAUGAAAAUGGAAGCCAAAACAAGAUGA